UUUGACUGGGGCGGUCUCCUCCUAAAGAGUAACGGAGGAGCACGAAGGUUGGCUAAUCCUGGUCGGACAUCAGGAGGUUAGUGCAAUGGCAUAAGCCAGCUUGACUGCGAGCGUGACGGCGCGAGCAGGUGCGAAAGCAGGUCAUAGUGAUCCGGUGGUUCUGAAUGGAAGGGCCAUCGCUCAACGGAUAAAAGGUACUCCGGGGAUAACAGGCUGAUACCGCCCAAGAGUUCAUAUCGACGGCGGUGUUUGGCACCUCGAUGUCGGCUCAUCACAUCCUGGGGCUGAAGUAGGUCCCAAGGGUAUGGCUGUUCGCCAUUUAAAGUGGUACGCGAGCUGGGUUUAGAACGUCGUGAGACAGUUCGGUCCCUAUCUGCCGUGGGCGCUGGAGAACUGAGGGGGGCUGCUCCUAGUACGAGAGGACCGGAGUGGACGCAUCACUGGUGUUCGGGUUGUCAUGCCAAUGGCACUGCCCGGUAGCUAAAUGCGGAAGAGAUAAGUGC
This 503-nucleotide ribosomal RNA is filed under the name Escherichia coli. Its description in RNAcentral is "bacterial LSU rRNA". It matches the Rfam family "Bacterial large subunit ribosomal RNA", at positions 2269 to 2771 of the family's 2925-position model. The record is from RNAcentral. Lineage: Bacteria; Pseudomonadati; Pseudomonadota; Gammaproteobacteria; Enterobacterales; Enterobacteriaceae.